CACGCCGUAAACGCUGAUUACUAGGUGUAGGGGGUAUAGACUCCCUCUGUGCCGCAGUUAACGCAUUAAGUAAUCCACCUGGGGAGUACGGCCGCAAGGUUAAAACUCAAAGGAAUUGACGGGGGCCCGCACAAGCAGCGGAGCAUGUGGUUUAAUUCGAAGCAACGCGAAGAACCUUACCAGGGCUUGACAUCCACAGUAGGCAUUAGAGAUAGUGCUGUGCCUCGUAAGAGGAACUGUGAGACAGGUGG
Molecule: ribosomal RNA, 251 nt
Filed under: uncultured Eubacteriales bacterium
Lineage: Bacteria; Bacillati; Bacillota; Clostridia; Eubacteriales
Description: uncultured Clostridiales bacterium partial 16S ribosomal RNA
Rfam family: Bacterial small subunit ribosomal RNA
Source: RNAcentral